RNAcentral lists this long non-coding RNA (308 nucleotides) under Musa acuminata (dwarf banana). RNAcentral describes it as "long non-coding RNA (MACU_LNC004333)". Lineage: Eukaryota; Viridiplantae; Streptophyta; Magnoliopsida; Zingiberales; Musaceae. The record is from RNAcentral.
CGGCUCAUGUGACCGUUGUCCGGUGAUUGGGACCGAAGAUGCGGAGGAAAGGAGGGAGAAGAAAGCGUGUGGGGAAAGGCAUGAAUGAAAGUGAGAAAUCAUGGAUGGAUAAGGCAUUCAUACCUGAUUGAUUGGAUGACUGUGGGUGGGUCACACCCACGUGACGUUGGUCCCACACGACAUGAGUCUCGGUAGAAUUGGAGACCACGAAAUAAGUCGUGGUUGUCUUUUCUGGGCCCCACUUAUUAAACUCAAUUAAAAAGCUUCUAUCGACAAUUCACAACGAAGUUUGAUUUGUUGAUUGUGUC